Molecule: long non-coding RNA, 769 nt
Organism: Maniola jurtina (meadow brown)
Lineage: Eukaryota; Metazoa; Arthropoda; Insecta; Lepidoptera; Nymphalidae
Exons: 3
Source: RefSeq, a predicted model, not a curated record
UUGCUAAUACUGCUGAAUUUUUGCCAUAGCCAAGAAAAUUCUAAUAACAACCAUCUAAAAAUAGACCUACAAAGUAUUAAUAUGCAGACUAUUUCUGUCCUUUCAGAAUCGCUGGAUCAAAACAUUCGAUUGAUAUAUUCUUUAUAUAAUAGGAAGCAAAGUACGAUUUCCCGUAUUAGUUUUGGGGGUGGUUGGACCGUAAGGGUUCUGAAUGAUAGCGUCGUCUCGCUCUGAUCAAACGGAUAGCUCUGUCGUACACCGCGUGGCGCCGGCCGACGACCCCGGCCCGGUCGUUACCCUGCGACAGUUGCACCCUGCUACCCCGUACUACUCACCCUUGUUCUGCCGAAUCUUGGACCUGAGCCGCAUCGAACUGACAUUGACUCAGCGCUAGGGUUCAAUGACCCGUAGAACAUUUCCGUUUUCCGGUGUGACCUACCGAAUUUGAGGAUAUUGAUUGAAAAUGAGCAAAAGUCAUCGCUCUAAAGUAAUAUUAAGUGGCUGGACAGAGGCAAAUAAAUCUAUAAGUACAAUAUAAAAAGGAUAAACUGAUUGAAACACCGCCAGUCGACACGGGGUCCAAGGAUGAAUAUUGUACGAGUACUUAGAUAAUCUGUUUUCGGCGAUUUUGAGUUUCGAUCGUUAUGCUCGUAUCAAAUUCAAAAUCGCUUAAAACUGAGAUACAAUCCAUAGUCCAUAUAUUAAUUACCCCGACUCAUAAAUGCGAGAAUAUGUCUGUCUCCUAGCUUUUCUUGGUACAGUCGUUAAA